This 736-nucleotide ribosomal RNA is filed under the name uncultured Fusobacterium sp. RNAcentral describes it as "bacterial SSU rRNA". It matches the Rfam family "Bacterial small subunit ribosomal RNA", at positions 28 to 776 of the family's 1533-position model. The record is from RNAcentral. Lineage: Bacteria; Fusobacteriati; Fusobacteriota; Fusobacteriia; Fusobacteriales; Fusobacteriaceae.
GAUGAACGCUGACAGAAUGCUUAACACAUGCAAGUCUACUUGAAUUUGGGUUUUUUAACUUCGAUUUGGGUGGCGGACGGGUGAGUAACGCGUAAAGAACUCGCCUCACAGCUAGGGACAACAUUUGGAAACGAAUGCUAAUACCUGAUAUUAUGAUUAUAGGGCAUCCUAGAAUUAUGAAAGCUAUAUGCGCUGUGAGAGAGCUUUGCGUCCCAUUAGCUAGUUGGAGAGGUAACGGCUCACCAAGGCGAUGAUGGGUAGCCGGCCUGAGAGGGUGAACGGCCACAAGGGGACUGAGACACGGCCCUUACUCCUACGGGAGGCAGCAGUGGGGAAUAUUGGACAAUGGACCGAGAGUCUGAUCCAGCAAUUCUGUGUGCACGAUGACGCUUUUCGGAAUGUAAAGUGCUUUCAGUUGGGAAGAAAAAAAUGACGGUACCAACAGAAGAAGUGACGGCUAAAUACGUGCCAGCGGCCGCGGUAAUACGUAUGUCACGAGCGUUAUCCGGAUUUAUUGGGCGUAAAGCGCGUCUAGGUGGUUAUGUAAGUCUGAUGUGAAAAUGCAGGGCUCAACUCUGUAUUGCGUUGGAAACUGUGUAACUAGAGUACUGGAGAGGUAAGCGGAACUACAAGUGUAGAGGUGAAAUUCGUAGAUAUUUGUAGGAAUGCCGAUGGGGAAGCCAGCUUACUGGACAGAUACUGACGCUGAAGCGCGAAAGCGUAGGUAGCAAACAGG